This 183-nucleotide small RNA is filed under the name Arabidopsis thaliana (thale cress). RNAcentral describes it as "ATSL001760". The record is from RNAcentral. Lineage: Eukaryota; Viridiplantae; Streptophyta; Magnoliopsida; Brassicales; Brassicaceae.
GUACUGGAAUAGGAGGAACCAAAAUCAGCUCCGUCAAUCCUUACACGGUGUUGGAGUCAUCGAUCUACAAAGCUUUUACGUCGGAGUUUAUUAGACAAGCAGCGGCGAGGAGCAUCAAGAGAGUAGCGUCGGUGAAACCGUUCGGCGCGUGUUUCAGCACGAAGAACGUUGGCGUCACGCGCC